GAUUAGAUACCCUGGUAGUCCACGCCGUAAACGAUGUCGACUUGGAGGUUGUUCCCUUGAGGAGUGGCUUCCGGAGCUAACGCGUUAAGUCGACCGCCUGGGGAGUACGGCCGCAAGGUUAAAACUCAAAUGAAUUGACGGGGGCCCGCACAAGCGGUGGAGCAUGUGGUUUAAUUCGAUGCAACGCGAAGAACCUUACCUACUCUCGACAUCCAGAGAACUUAGCAGAGAUGCUUUGGUGCCUUCGGGAACUCUGAGACAGGUGCUGCAUGGCUGUCGUCAGCUCGUGUUGUGAAAUGUUGGGUUAAGUCCCGCAACGAGCGCAACCCUUAUCCUUUGUUGCCAGCGAUUCGGUCGGGAACUCAAAGGAGACUGCCGGUGAUAAACCGGAGGAAGGUGGGGAUGACGUCAAGUCAUCAUGGCCCUUACGAGUAGGGCUACACACGUGCUACAAUGGCGCAUACAAAGAGAAGCGACCUCGCGAGAGCAAGCGGACCUCAUAAAGUGCGUCGUAGUCCGGAUCGGAGUCUGCAACUCGACUCCGUGAAGUCGGAAUCGCUAGUAAUCGUGGAUCAGAAUGCCACGGUGAAUACGUUCCCGGGCCUUGUACACACCGCCCGUCACACCAUGGGAGUGGGUUGCAAAAGAAGUAGGUAGCUUAACCUUCGGGAGGGCGCUUACCACUUUGUGAUUCAUGACUGGGGUGAAGUCGUAACAAGG
RNAcentral lists this ribosomal RNA (720 nucleotides) under uncultured bacterium. RNAcentral's name for it is "bacterial SSU rRNA". It matches the Rfam family "Bacterial small subunit ribosomal RNA", at positions 776 to 1496 of the family's 1533-position model. The record is from RNAcentral.